RNAcentral lists this ribosomal RNA (480 nucleotides) under uncultured bacterium. RNAcentral's name for it is "bacterial SSU rRNA". It matches the Rfam family "Bacterial small subunit ribosomal RNA", at positions 28 to 505 of the family's 1533-position model. The record is from RNAcentral.
GAUGAACGCUAGCGGCAGGCUUAAUACAUGCAAGUCGAACGGUAACAGGUCUUCGGACGCUGACGAGUGGCGCACGGGUGAGGAACACGUACACAAUCUACCUUAUACUGGAGAAUAGCCCCGGGAAACUGGGAUUAAUACUCCAUAGUCUUUAAUGAUCACAUGAGAAAUAAAGUAAAGCUUCGGCGGUAUAAGAUGAGUGUGCGUCCCAUUAGAUUGUUGGUGAGGUAACGGCUCACUAAGUCGACGAUGGGUAGCUGGCGUGAGAGCGCGACCAGCCACACUGGCACUGAGACACGGGGCCAGACUCCUACGGGAGGCAGCAGUAGGGAAUAUUGGUCAAUGGACGAAAGUCUGAACCAGCCAUGCCGCGUGGAGGAUGACUGCCCUCUGGGUUGUAAACUCCUUUUAUAUGGGAAGAAACCUCUGGAUUCACUCCAGAGCUGACGGUAUCAUAUGAAUAAGCACCGGCUAACUCCG